RNAcentral lists this ribosomal RNA (253 nucleotides) under uncultured bacterium. Its description in RNAcentral is "partial 16S ribosomal RNA". It matches the Rfam family "Bacterial small subunit ribosomal RNA", at positions 524 to 776 of the family's 1533-position model. The record is from RNAcentral.
UACGGAGGGUGCGAGCGUUGUUCGGAAUCACUGGGCGUAAAGCGCGUGUAGGCGGUCUUGUAAGUCUGGUGUGAAAUCCCGGGGCUCACCCCCGGAAGUGCACUGGAAACUGCAGGACUCGAGUCUCGGAGAGGAGAGUGGAAUUCCUGGUGUAGCGGUGAAAUGCGUAGAUAUCAGGAGGAACACCGGUGGCGAAGGCGGCUCUCUGGACGAUGACUGACGCUGAGACGCGAAAGCGUGGGGAGCAAACAGG